Molecule: non-coding RNA, 2979 nt
Organism: Candidatus Tremblaya phenacola PAVE
Lineage: Bacteria; Pseudomonadati; Pseudomonadota; Betaproteobacteria
Source: Rfam
AGGGGUUAUCAGAAGUGCAAGCGACGGAUGCCUUGGCGAUUAUACGCGAUGAAGGACGUGAUGGCCAACGAAAGUCUCGAGUAACUGGCUGAUGGUGAUGAUUCGGGACGUUCCUAAUGGGGCAACCUAGAACUUAGAUUUUGGUGGCCGGUUUGGUGGCCAGGUUCUACUUCAGGCUGAAAUGAAUAGGUCAGGAGGGCGAACGCGAAGAACUGAAACAUCUCAGUAUUCGUAGGAAAAGAAAUCAACAAUGAGAUUCCCAGAGUAGUGGCGAACGAAAUGGGAGGAGCCUAGCAGAAUUGUGGGGUCAGUUAGCUGAACGUUCUGGGAAGUGCGACCUUAGAGGGUGAUAGUCCUGUAGGCUAAAACUGGUUCUGAUUACUAACUGCGCUCUUGCCCCUCUGCCUUUUGGGUUGGGUGGCUGAGUUUCUCUUUUGGGGGAAAGUGAAGUAGGACGAGGCACGUAAACUUUGUCUGAAGGUGGGGGGACCAUCCUCCAAGGCUAAAUAUUAGUAAUCGACCGAUAGUGAACUAGUACCGUGAGGGAAAGGUGAAAUAGUGCUCUGGGGAAGAGAGUGAAAGAGACCUGAAAUCGUUUGCAUACAAUCAGUCGGAGCCUUUUGGAGGGGUGACGGCGUACCUUUUGUAUAAUGGGUCAGCGACUUACAUUCAACAGCAAGCUUAACUGGGUAAGGGAGGCAUAGCGAAAGCAAGUCUUAAGGGCGCUUUAGUUGUUGGGUGUAGACCCGAAACCAAGUGAUCUAUUUAUGACCAGGAUGAAAGUGGGGCGGUGCUCUGCUGAAGGUCCGAACUCACUGGCGUUGUAAAGCUAGGAGAUGAGUUGUGAAUAGGGGUGAAAGGCCAAUCAAACUUGGAGAUAGCUGGUUCUCCUCGAAAACUAUUUAGGUAGUGCCUUAUGUUUUACUUUUGGGGGUAGAGCUCUGUAAUGGUUUUGGGGUUCGAGAGAGCUGCCAUGCCAUAGCAAACUUCAAAUACCAAACCAGUAUAAUCAUAGGAGACAGACUGUGGGUGCUAACGUCCAUAGUCGAGAGGGAAACAACCCAGACCAUCAGCUAAGGCCCCAAAAUCACAGCUAAGUGUGGAACGAUGUGGGUGGACCAAGACAAUCAGGAGGUUGGCUUAGAAGCAGCCAUCCUUUAAAGAAAGCGUAACAGCUCACUGAUCUAGUCUGCCUGCGCGGAAGAUGUAACGGGGCUAAGUUGUGUGCCGAAGCUAUGGACAAUCAGAUGGUUGUGGUAGGGGAGCGUUCUGUAAGCCAGCGAAGGCAAACUGAUAGGUUUGCUGGAGGCAUCAGAAGUGCGAAUGCUGACAUGAGUAGCUAAAAAAGGGGUGGGAAUCCCUUUCACCGUAAGCCUAAGGUUUCCUAUGAGACGUUUAUCGACGUAGGGUGAGUCGGACCUAAGGUGAGGCAGGGAUGCGUAACUGAUGGUUUGUGAGUUAAUAUUCUCACGCUGCUACACCAAAACGAAGGGCUGACAGAUUGUGAGGUGGCUUGCCUAUUAUUGGAAUGUUAGGUUGUCAUGCAGAAGAAGAUUCUGGCAAACCCAGAUCGUUAUUAGUUUUUAGCUUUUGGAUUGUAUGGCAUAAUCAGAAAGGGCUAGGGUGACAGUCUCAAGAAAAGGCUCUUAGUGGUUCAGCUCCUUUUGGGGGUUUUGAACAGUAUUGGUGUGGUGUCCGUACCAAAACUAACUCAAGAAGGCGGGAUGAAUAUUCUCAGGUGUAUGGGAGAACUCAGGAGAAGGAACUCGGCAAAUUGAUACCGUAACUUCGGGAGAAGGUAUGCCCUUACUGGUUGAACAGCAUAGUACUGUGAAGCUGGUUGGGGCUCGGAUGAAUUGGUGGCUGCGACUGUUUACUAAAAACACAGCACUGUGCUAACAUGCAAAUGGAAGUAUACGGUGUGACGCCUGCCCGGUGCUGGCAGAUCAAUUGAGGGGGUGGAAGCUCCUAAGAGAAGUCCCAGUAAACGGCGGCCGUAACUAUAACGGUCCUAAGGUAGCGAAAUUCCUUGUCGGGUAAGUUCCGACCUGCACGAAUGGCGUAACGAUGGCCACACUGUCUCCUCCUGGGACCUAGUGAAAUUGAAGUGGUUGUGAUGAUGCAAUCUACCCGUGGCUAGACGGAAAGACCCCAUGAACCUUUACUGCAGCUUUGCAUUGGGUUUUGGGUUGGCCUGUGUAGCGUAGGUGGGAGACAAUGAAGCUAAGGCGCUAGUCUUAGUGGAGUCGGACGUGAAAUACCAUCCAUCCCAUCCUAGAACCCUAACAUAAACCGUUAUCCGGUUGGUGGACAAUGCAUGGUGGGCAGUUUGACUGGGGCGGUCUCCUCCCAAAGAGUAACGGAGGAGUACAAAGGUACACUUAGUGCGGUUGGGAAUCGUACAAGCAGUGCAAUGGCGGAAGUGUGCCUGACUGCAAGACAGACGAGUCGAGCAGAUGCGAAAGCAGGUCAUAGUGAUCCGGUGGUUCUGGAUGGAAGGGCCAUCGCUCAACGAAUAAAAGGUACUCUGGGGAUAACAGGCUAAUACCGCCCAAGAGUUCAUAUCGACGGCGGUGUUUGGCACCUCGAUGUCGGCUCAUCUCAUCCUGGGGCUGAAGCAGGUCCCAAGGGUAUGGUUGUUCACCAUUUAAAGAGGUACGUGAGCUGGGUUUAAAACGUCGUGAGACAGUUUGGUCCCUAUCUACCAUGGGCGUAGGAUACUUGAAAGGAUCUGCUCUUAGUACGAGAGGACCGGAGUGGACAAACCAAUGGUGUGUCGGUUGUUGUGCCAAUGGCAUUGCCGAGUAGCUAAGUUUGGGACUGAUAACUACUGAAAGCAUAUAAGUAGGAAGCUCGCCUUAAGAAUUGGUAUCCCAAAAGUUUGAGGGCCGUUCCAGAUUAGGACGUUAAUAGGUUGGAAGUGUGAGGCUAGUAAUGGUUUAAGCUUACCAAUCCUAAUUGCCUAACAGAAACUUCUUU